AAUUAAUAAUAAUAAUAAUAAUAUAACAUUACUUCUACAUCCCUCCCGCCGCCCGAACAGCUCAAAAAAGUUGGCCGCCGGCCGUGGCAGUGCCGGAGAUUUCCUUUCCUAAACCAAACGUCAUAACCCUUUAAAGCCCUACAAAUCACAUACAACUGAUUCUGCCAACUGCAAAAACUUAGUCGGAGAAUCCAAACCUAAAACAUAAGACUCCUAAUCGAACUAUUACACAUUCAAAUUCAUUCAUCAAGAUGUUAAAAUCGAAGCCCAAUCA
RNAcentral lists this unclassified non-coding RNA (274 nucleotides) under Hevea brasiliensis (rubber tree). The record is from RNAcentral. Lineage: Eukaryota; Viridiplantae; Streptophyta; Magnoliopsida; Malpighiales; Euphorbiaceae.